AUUAGGUAUAAUUAAAAAUAAGUAUCAAUAUUCUGAUUCUAUGUUUGAAGUAGAAGUGCAAAGUUGGUUUAGAACUGCUAAAACUCGAUAUGACAGGACAAACGCUGUUAAGAGUUCAUAAACGCAUUAAAGAUAUUGGAAGUGUAUCUAAACGUCAAUUUCAGAGGCGUAUUAAAAAUAAAUUACAAUUACUUCUUAAUAAUAAUCCAGCAAUACCCAUAAAUCCUGAUAUCCAAUCUUCAUCACAACUAACAAAUCUUUUCAUACUUUCAAAAGCAUCUUCCAAUGAAGAAAUUAACUCAAUCAAUUGUAUUGAGUCAUGUCCUUCUAUGAAUGUUUUAACUAACAAUUUGCAGACUAAUCAAUUUUAUAAUUUCAAUGAUUUUCCUGAAGACAUCCAGCCUGUUAAAAAUAUACUGUGUGCAACUAGUUCAAUCAGAGACAAAAAUAAAGAUCUUGUACAACAACUUCGAAAAUGGGCAGUGCAGUCAAUGUAUCUCACGCGUGUGCUAAUAAAAUGUUAGAAAUCCUGAGAAGUUCAGGUCUACAAGUUCCUAAAGAUAUUCGAACAAUCCUGCAUGAAAAUAAGGUUAUUAGGCCUAUUCUAGAAAUUGAAAAUGGAUCUUAUCUCGAUUUAGAUUAUAUGGUCCAUUGGACAAUUUCAGUGCAUUCAAGUACGAAAAUUACCUUCAAACUCUAAAGAAGUCAAUGAAAUGUUGUAAAUAUCCACUGUCUGAAAUAAGAAAUAAAAUAAUAGCACUUAAAUGUAAAGAAUUGAAAACUAUCACAAUAAAUAAAUGUUUUUUAAAGUAUUUUAAAAUAGAUGAAAAUCUUUCAAAUUUUGAAUUAACAUUUU
This 856-nucleotide unclassified non-coding RNA is filed under the name Acyrthosiphon pisum (pea aphid). RNAcentral describes it as "uncharacterized LOC115033286, transcript variant X1". The record is from RNAcentral. Lineage: Eukaryota; Metazoa; Arthropoda; Insecta; Hemiptera; Aphididae.